This 301-nucleotide ribosomal RNA is filed under the name uncultured bacterium. RNAcentral's name for it is "partial 16S ribosomal RNA". It matches the Rfam family "Bacterial small subunit ribosomal RNA", at positions 510 to 808 of the family's 1533-position model. The record is from RNAcentral.
CAUCGCCACGGGAAUACAGAGGGUGCGAGCGUUAAUCGGAUUUACUGGGCGUAAAGCGUGCGUAGGCGGCUUUUUAAGUCGGAUGUGAAAUCCCUGAGCUUAACUUAGGAAUUGCAUUCGAUACUGGGAAGCUAGAGUAUGGGAGAGGAUGGUAGAAUUCCAGGUGUAGCGGUGAAAUGCGUAGAGAUCUGGAGGAAUACCGAUGGCGAAGGCAGCCAUCUGGCCUAAUACUGACGCUGAGGUACGAAAGCAUGGGGAGCAAACAGGAUUAGAUACCCCAGUAGUCCCUGUCUCUUAUACA